RNAcentral lists this transfer RNA (72 nucleotides) under Sphaerodactylus townsendi. Its description in RNAcentral is "tRNA-Ala". It matches the Rfam family "tRNA". Rfam says of the family: Transfer RNA (tRNA) molecules are approximately 80 nucleotides in length. Lineage: Eukaryota; Metazoa; Chordata; Lepidosauria; Squamata; Sphaerodactylidae. The record is from RNAcentral.
GGAGUUGCAGCUCAGUGGAAGAGCCUCUGCUUUGCAUGCAGAAGGUCCCAGGUUCAAUCCCUGCCAUCUCCA